RNAcentral lists this ribosomal RNA (277 nucleotides) under uncultured bacterium. Its description in RNAcentral is "partial 16S ribosomal RNA". It matches the Rfam family "Bacterial small subunit ribosomal RNA", at positions 28 to 297 of the family's 1533-position model. The record is from RNAcentral.
GACGAACGCUGGCGGCGUGCUUAACACAUGCAAGUCGAGCGAGGUCCAUCCGGUGGCAACACCGGUGAAGACCUAGCGGCGAACGGGUGAGUAACACGUGAGCAACCUGCCCCGAAGACCGGGAUAACAGCGGGAAACCGCUGCUAAUACCGGAUGCCCUCACCGGGCCGCAUGACCUGGUGAGGAAAUGAAUUUCGCUUCGGGAGGGGCUCGCGGGCUAUCAGCUUGUUGGUGAGGUAACGGCUCACCAAGGCUACGACGGCUAGCUGGUCUGAGA